This 253-nucleotide ribosomal RNA is filed under the name uncultured bacterium. RNAcentral's name for it is "partial 16S ribosomal RNA". It matches the Rfam family "Bacterial small subunit ribosomal RNA", at positions 524 to 776 of the family's 1533-position model. The record is from RNAcentral.
UACGUAGGGUGCAAGCGUUGUCCGGAAUUAUUGGGCGUAAAGGGCUCGUAGGCGGUUUGUCGCGUCUGCCGUGAAAGUCCGGGGCUCAACCCCGGAUCGGCCGUGGCGACUGUCGCGCUGGAGCACAGUAGAGGCGGGUGGAAUUCCGGGUGUAGCGGUGGAAUGCGUAGAGAUCCGGAAGAACACCGGUGGCGAAGGCGGCCCGCUGGGCUGUGGCUGACGCUGAGGCGCGACAGCGUGGGGAGCAAACAGG